This 502-nucleotide ribosomal RNA is filed under the name uncultured bacterium. RNAcentral's name for it is "bacterial SSU rRNA". It matches the Rfam family "Bacterial small subunit ribosomal RNA", at positions 903 to 1397 of the family's 1533-position model. The record is from RNAcentral.
AAAUGAAUAGACGGGGGCCCGCACAAGCGGCGGAGCAUGUGGCUUAAUUCGACGCAACGCGAAGAACCUUACCAAGGCUUGACAUACACCGGACGGUCGCAGAGAUGUGGCUUCCUUUUUGGCUGGUGUACAGGUGGUGCAUGGCUGUCGUCAGCUCGUGUCGUGAGAUGUUGGGUUAAGUCCCGCAACGAGCGCAACCCUUGUCCUGUGUUGCCAGCACGCCCUUUUGUGGUGGUGGGGACUCACGGGAGACUGCCGGGGUCAACUCGGAGGAAGGUGGGGACGACGUCAAGUCAUCAUGCCCCUUAUGUCUUGGGCUGCACACGUGCUACAAUGGCUGGUACAGUGGGCUGCGAUACCGUGAGGUGGAGCGAAUCCCUAAAAGCCAGUCUCAGUUCGGAUUGGGGUCUGCAACUCGACCCCAUGAAGUCGGAGUCGCUAGUAAUCGCAGAUCAGCAUUGCUGCGGUGAAUACGUUCCCGGGCCUUGUACACACCGCCCGU